UACGUAGGGACCAAGCGUUGUUCGGAUUUACUGGGCGUAAAGGGCGCGUAGGCGGCUUAACAAGUCACUUGUGAAAUCUCCGGGCUUAACUCGGAACGGCCAAGUGAAACUGUCAAGCUAGAGUGCAGAAGGGGCAAUCGGAAUUCUUGGUGUAGAGGUGAAAUUCGUAGAUAUUCGGAAGAACACCAGUGGCGAAGGCGACUCACUGGACACAUAUUGACGCUGAGGUGCGAAAGCGUGGGGAGCAAACAGG
This 253-nucleotide ribosomal RNA is filed under the name uncultured bacterium. Its description in RNAcentral is "partial 16S ribosomal RNA". It matches the Rfam family "Bacterial small subunit ribosomal RNA", at positions 524 to 776 of the family's 1533-position model. The record is from RNAcentral.